Long non-coding RNA from Quercus lobata, 977 nucleotides. RefSeq lists it as uncharacterized. The transcript is spliced from 3 exons. The record is from RefSeq and is a predicted model, not a curated record. Lineage: Eukaryota; Viridiplantae; Streptophyta; Magnoliopsida; Fagales; Fagaceae.
GCUAAAGCUAAAGGUGGAAAUGGAAAUUUGCCGUUUAAUUUUUAACUUCCCUCCUAUUCGUGUAAUUAGAUAUUAAUUUCUGAGAAGAAGGUCCCCUAUGCUAUGUCUAUAUCUCCAUUUAAUAAGUUGCAGGCAACCUGUGGUCUCAAGGAGUUAUCAUCUAUGAUUUAUUUAUAUAUUUAAGCAUACAAGUGUCUUUUUACAAAAUGCGAGCACUUUAGUCAGUCAGUGGAAACUGGUAGUUGUGUUGUAAUAAUGUAAUGACUACUUCUGCAACUUUGACUUUUUUUAGUAUCAAUCUUACCUCAUAUGGAUUUACAUAAUUUAUUAUCAUUCCUUAUUCAAUUCAGUGGCUUUGAACUUUGAAGCCAAAUGGGUGGAAGAAAGGAACUCUGCUGCUGCUGCUGCUGCGGCUGCUGCUUUUCAUGCAAUAUUGGGUUAUAGCACUCACAGCCAACGAUGCUUCAAACGACGACUUUAAAGGUCUACUGUCUCUCCAGGAUGAGUUGAAGAACACACCAAAUUGGAAGGGUGUGCUGAUCCUUGUGACAAUUGGGAAGGGGUUAGGUGCACCAAUUCGCGUGUGACCUCCUUGUAAUUUCACCCUAUAUUUAUUUUUUAAGAAUAUUGACAAGCAUGAAUUUGAUGGGGACACUAUCUAGUGAGAUCAGCCAGUUGUCUGAGUUGCAGACUUUGUAGGUCAUUUAUUUGCUUUUAUUUGCACUUGGCUGCUUCUGUUUCAUGGUAAUCCACUUUAACUAUUGUGUUGAGGAAAAACUUGGCUACCGUCUGUUUUCAUAGGCUUUCAGUACUCAGAUGUCUAAAGAUUCAAUGCUCAACAACAUCUGAGGCAGCACAUACCUCAUGCCUGGGAGCCAUUUAUCUUUGACACAUGCAUCCCAGAAAUCAACUAUUUCAUGGGAUUAUUAUCAUAAAUAUUGCGACUACGAAAUUUUAUUUUUUGUUUUAUUUCACAA